This 84-nucleotide transfer RNA is filed under the name Porphyromonadaceae bacterium. Its description in RNAcentral is "tRNA-Leu". It matches the Rfam family "tRNA". From Rfam's summary of the family: Transfer RNA (tRNA) molecules are approximately 80 nucleotides in length. Their secondary structure includes four short double-helical elements and three loops (D, anti-codon, and T loops). RNAcentral also lists the same sequence under 2 other names. Lineage: Bacteria; Pseudomonadati; Bacteroidota; Bacteroidia; Bacteroidales; Porphyromonadaceae. The record is from RNAcentral.
GCCCGGGUGGCGGAAUUGGUAGACGCGCUCGUUUCAGGUGCGAGUGGGGUUAAAGCCGUGCAGGUUCGAGUCCUGUUCCGGGCA